GGUCCGUUGGUCAAGGGGUUAAGGACACCGCCUUUUCACGGCGGUAACACGGGUUCGAAUCCCGUACGGACUA
RNAcentral lists this transfer RNA (73 nucleotides) under Streptococcus pneumoniae GA19690. RNAcentral describes it as "tRNA-Glu". It matches the Rfam family "tRNA". Rfam says of the family: Transfer RNA (tRNA) molecules are approximately 80 nucleotides in length. Their secondary structure includes four short double-helical elements and three loops (D, anti-codon, and T loops). The record is from RNAcentral. Lineage: Bacteria; Bacillati; Bacillota; Bacilli; Lactobacillales; Streptococcaceae.